AGUAAUGUAAAGAGUAUUAUUAGCGUUCGGCAGGACUUGAGGAGAUUCCUAUGAGGAAUACCGAUCGUAGUGAGAUAAACAAAUAAGCGCAGUCACCGCCCUAAAUACCGGCGCUAGCGGAAAACUCGUACAUUCCGCGAUCUAACUGCACGUACAUUCCGCGAUCUCACUGCGCCGUCCUGACGGUGCCCAAAUGUCUAUCACUUAGCUACAGUAUAUGCAUCGGUAGCCCAUAAGGUUCUGGGUUAAGUCUUCCCCAUUAGUCAGGCGCAGUCUCAGGGUCAAGACCCCUGGUUGACAACCAUACGAGUUGGGAGAGGACCGUUUCCUCAACAAAGGUCACGCACCUUGAAGACUUUCGCUAUUGCGGCUUUAAUUGCCCGGACCAUUUCCGGGUCUUCUGACGCAAUAAUGGUGUCAUCUACGUGCACCAAAGCAAUAACAGGCAGGCGGCUGGCAGAGGUUAAGGCCUGACUUCUGCUCCCGGUCGACCUGGGUUCAAAUCCGCCUGCCGACCUCUCGGGUGUUUGAGAGGUGGUGAAAUGGGAGGUGGCCCCCCAUCUUGUGGACGGUGUAGGACGUGAUAAAAUCAACUUGCGAGCUGUCCAGGAACUAGGUUGAGGCGCCGUUGAUCCGCUAGAUUUGGUUGGAUGCUGGUGGUGAGUUGCCAAACUCAAAGAGUACACGCUGAAGUCGGAUGGGGUGAAUGGCUUAGGGUGCCCCUCUAGCAGGGGAGAGCAGGGAAUUGCCUCGGGAAGGAGGCCACUGGUGAAGCUUAACCACCCUGUAACAACAUCAACAACCCCACGCUCGUCCGUCUUAACGAACAUCGCCGAAUCAGACUUCGAAGGAUAAAGACCCAGCUUGGCGAACUCUGCUGAUAGCUUUACAUACCAUGGCAGGCGGCUGGCAGAAGUUAAGGCCUGACUUCUGCUCCCAGUCGAUCCAGUCGACCCGGGUUCAAAUCCGCCUGCCAGCUCCUCGGGUAUUUGAGGAGUGAUGAAAUGGGAGGUGGCCCCCCAUCAUAUGGACGGUGUAGGACGUGAUAAUAUCAACUUGCGAGCUGACCAGGAACUAAGUUGAUGCGCCGUUGAUCCGCUAGAUUUGGUUGGAUGCUGGUGGUGAGUUGCCGAACCCAACGAAUACAUUCUGAAGUCGGAUGGGGUGACGGAUUAGGGUGCCCCUCUAGCAGGGGAGAGCAGGGACUGCCCCGGGAAAGGGGGCCGCUGGCGAAGUUAACCACCCUGUAAUAACAUACAUACCAGCAACGGGGUGCCUGCUUCAAACCGUAAAUAGACCUCUCCAGCUUGCACGCAAGCGACCGGUCACUGGAUGCAUACCCAGGCGGUUGCUCCAUCCACAACUCCUCCUUCAACUCGCCAUUCAAAAAUGCAGUAGACACAUCGAGCUGGUGCACCGUCAUGUUCCGCGCUGCGGCAACUGCUAGUAAAGCACGUAAUGACGAACACGUGAGGUAGGGGCAAACAACUCCAGGCCUGGCUUCUGCUCCCGACGUGUUCCGGCGCGUCCGGGUUCAAAUCCGCCUGCCGACCUCUCGGGGUGUUUGAGAGGUGAUGAAAUGGGAGGUGGCUCCCCAUCUUAUGGACGGUGUAGGACGUGAUAAAAUCAACUCGCGAGCUGACCAGGAACUAAGUUGACGCGCCGUUGAUCCGCUAGAUCUGGUUGGAUGCUGGUGGUGAGUUGCCAAACUCAAAGAGUACACGCUGAAGUCGGAUGGGGUGAAUGGCUUAGGGUGCCCCUCUAGCAGGGGAGAGCAGGGAAUUGCCUCGGGAAGGAGGCCACUGGUGAAGCUUAACCACCCUGUAACAACAUCAACAACCCCACGCUCGUCCGUCUUAACGAACAUCGCCGAAUCAGACUUCGAAGGAUAAAGACCCAGCUUGGCGAACUCUGCUGAUAGCUUUACAUACCAUGGCAGGCGGCUGGCAGAAGUUAAGGCCUGACUUCUGCUCCCAGUCGAUCCAGUCGACCCGGGUUCAAAUCCGCCUGCCAGCUCCUCGGGUAUUUGAGGAGUGAUGAAAUGGGAGGUGGCCCCCCAUCAUAUGGACGGUGUAGGACGUGAUAAUAUCAACUUGCGAGCUGACCAGGAACUAAGUUGAUGCGCCGUUGAUCCGCUAGAUUUGGUUGGAUGCUGGUGGUGAGUUGCCGAACCCAACGAAUACAUUCUGAAGUCGGAUGGGGUGACGGAUUAGGGUGCCCCUCUAGCAGGGGAGAGCAGGGACUGCCCCGGGAAAGGGGGCCGCUGGCGAAGUUAACCACCCUGUAAUAACAUACAUACCAGCAACGGGGUGCCUGCUUCAAACCGUAAAUAGACCUCUCCAGCUUGCACGCAAGCGACCGGUCACUGGAUGCAUACCCAGGCGGUUGCUCCAUCCACAACUCCUCCUUCAACUCGCCAUUCAAAAAUGCAGUAGACACAUCGAGCUGGUGCACCGUCAUGUUCCGCGCUGCGGCAACUGCUAGUAAAGCACGUAAUGACGAACACGUGAGGUAGGGGCAAACAACUCCAGGCCUGGCUUCUGCUCCCGACGUGUUCCGGCGCGUCCGGGUUCAAAUCCGCCUGCCGACCUCUCGGGGUGUUUGAGAGGUGAUGAAAUGGGAGGUGGCUCCCCAUCUUAUGGACGGUGUAGGACGUGAUAAAAUCAACUCGCGAGCUGACCAGGAACUAAGUUGACGCGCCGUUGAUCCGCUAGAUCUGGUUGGAUGCUGGUGGUGAGUUGCCAAACUCAAAGAGUACACGCUGAAGUCGGAUGGGGUGAAUGGCUUAGGGUGCCCCUCUAGCAGGGGAGAGCAGGGAAUUGCCUCGGGAAGGAGNNNNNNNNNNNNNNNNNNNNNNNNNNNNNNNNNNNNNNNNNNNNNNNNNNUUCAGACUUAUCUUGCUGUUUUUGUGUUUGUUCGGCGUUCAAGUCGUUGCCUUUUGCGUGUUUGUCUAUGGAAGGACCGGUCAUACAUUCUGCUAUGCCGCGUUGACUCACGGGCUUGACCUUCUUACGGCCCCUCAUAUCUAUUUUAUGAUCGAUAAUACUAAGUUCUGCACACUACGGAGCAAUCUGGCAGCAAUGGACGUUUUUGGCUGAAGGAAUGAAAAUGUACGGAUCGGCCUCACUUUGUUCCUUAUUUCCAAAGGCCAAAAAGGCCUCUUUAUUCCUUAAAAGUAAUAUAUUACUUAAAAAAAAAACACUGCCGUUGGGUCCUAUUACUGUGGCUACCAUUCACUGGUAUAUGAGUGUCGGUCAUUUCCAACACCCCCCCGUGAGCGACACUCCAUCGCUACGGGCCGUCCCGUGCCUCAUCCCGGUCUCCCAUUCUCUAGGCAACAGCCAGUGGGUAUCGAUCCGGCGACCUCUCGGCAGCGCAAUGCGCCAUUCGGGGCUCAUUUCUUAUUGACGAAUUGGCGACGGAGACAGCUAACGCUGAUUGUUAUUCCGGAAGGAUUGCCGGUGGCGAAGAUAUUUUGCACAAUAAAAUAUUACAAGUAAUGUAAAGAGUAUUAUUAGCGUUCGGCAGGACUUGAGGAGAUUCCUAUGAGGAAUACCGAUCGUAGUGAGAUAAACAAAUAAGCGCAGUCACCGCCCUAAAUACCGGCGCUAGCGGAAAACUCGUACAUUCCGCGAUCUAACUGCACGUACAUUCCGCGAUCUCACUGCGCCGUCCUGACGGUGCCCAAAUGUCUAUCACUUAGCUACAGUAUAUGCAUCGGUAGCCCAUAAGGUUCUGGGUUAAGUCUUCCCCAUUAGUCAGGCGCAGUCUCAGGGUCAAGACCCCUGGUUGACAACCAUACGAGUUGGGAGAGGACCGUUUCCUCAACAAAGGUCACGCACCUUGAAGACUUUCGCUAUUGCGGCUUUAAUUGCCCGGACCAUUUCCGGGUCUUCUGACGCAAUAAUGGUGUCAUCUACGUGCACCAAAGCAAUAACAGGCAGGCGGCUGGCAGAGGUUAAGGCCUGACUUCUGCUCCCGGUCGACCUGGGUUCAAAUCCGCCUGCCGACCUCUCGGGUGUUUGAGAGGUGGUGAAAUGGGAGGUGGCCCCCCAUCUUGUGGACGGUGUAGGACGUGAUAAAAUCAACUUGCGAGCUGUCCAGGAACUAGGUUGAGGCGCCGUUGAUCCGCUAGAUUUGGUUGGAUGCUGGUGGUGAGUUGCCAAACUCAAAGAGUACACGCUGAAGUCGGAUGGGGUGAAUGGCUUAGGGUGCCCCUCUAGCAGGGGAGAGCAGGGAAUUGCCUCGGGAAGGAGGCCACUGGUGAAGCUUAACCACCCUGUAACAACAUCAACAACCCCACGCUCGUCCGUCUUAACGAACAUCGCCGAAUCAGACUUCGAAGGAUAAAGACCCAGCUUGGCGAACUCUGCUGAUAGCUUUACAUACCAUGGCAGGCGGCUGGCAGAAGUUAAGGCCUGACUUCUGCUCCCAGUCGAUCCAGUCGACCCGGGUUCAAAUCCGCCUGCCAGCUCCUCGGGUAUUUG
Molecule: long non-coding RNA, 4487 nt
Filed under: Volvox carteri
Lineage: Eukaryota; Viridiplantae; Chlorophyta; Chlorophyceae; Chlamydomonadales; Volvocaceae
Description: long non-coding RNA (VCAR_LNC001173)
Source: RNAcentral